RNAcentral lists this ribosomal RNA (740 nucleotides) under uncultured bacterium. Its description in RNAcentral is "bacterial SSU rRNA". It matches the Rfam family "Bacterial small subunit ribosomal RNA", at positions 8 to 796 of the family's 1533-position model. The record is from RNAcentral.
AGAGUUUGAUCAUGGCUCAGAGCGAACGCUGGCGGCAGGCCUAACACAUGCAAGUCGAGCGCCCCGCAAGGGGAGCGGCAGACGGGAGAGUAACACGUGGGAACGUGCCCUUCAGUUCGGAACAACCCAGGGAAACUUGGGCUGAUACCGGAUACGUCCGUAAGGAGAAAGAUUUAUCGCUGAAGGAUCGGCCCGCGUCUGAUUAGCUAGUUGGUGGGGUAAUGGCCCACCAAGGCGACGAUCAGUAGCUGGUCUGAGAGGAUGAUCAGCCUCACUGGGACUGAGACACGGCCCAGACUCCUACGGGAGGCAGCAGUGGGGAAUAUUGGACAAUGGGCGCAAGCCUGAUCCAGCCAUGCCGCGUGGAUGAUGACGGCCUUAGGGUUGUAAAGUCCUUUCGGCGGGGAAGAUAAUGACGGUACCCGCAGAAGAAGCCCCGGCUAACUUCGUGCCAGCAGCCGCGGUAAUACGAAGGGGGCUAGCGUUGCUCGGAACCACUGGGCGUAAAGCGCACGUAGGCGGCUUUUUAAGUCAGGGGUGAAAUCCUGGAGCUCAACUCCAGAACUGCCUUUGAUACUGAGAAGCUUGAGUCCGGGAGAGGUGAGUGGAACUGCGAGUGUAGAGGUGAAAUUCGUAGAUAUUCGCAAGAACACCAGUGGCGAAGGCGGCUCACUGGCCCGGUACUGACGCUGAGGUGCGAAAGCGUGGGGAGCAAACAGGAUUAGAUACCCCCGUAGUCC